Molecule: long non-coding RNA, 2225 nt
Filed under: Vulpes vulpes (red fox)
Lineage: Eukaryota; Metazoa; Chordata; Mammalia; Carnivora; Canidae
Description: lncRNA (ENSVVUG00000003484.1)
Source: RNAcentral
CCGCGCUCUCCUGCCGAAGAGGAGUAAGUGUUCAUCUUCCCAGCUCUCCCCCACACUCAGGGCCCGACCCCCUGGGACCCGACUGCGGAAAUGGAUGACCUCAGCCAGCCGCCCCGGCUCACAGACAGCGGGAAACGAAGAAGCCAGGGACGGGCCCAAGGUCACGAGGGGCCCUGUGUCCUGUCCUCCUUCCCGGACUCCACUCUCCCCACAGCCCCAGGACGGAGCUGGAGCCGGGGAAGCCCUGGGAGCCGACUCCCGGGAGGAGGGCGGGGUGAUGCCCGCGCCACUGCUUCCCGCUUCUGAGAAACGCUCUGGCAUCAGAGUGGAGGGGGAGGCGAGAGGAAUUUGGCGGAGAUCUGGAGGCUGCCGUGGGGGCCCAAGAGGUGGCUGCCUGGUCAGGGCGCUGUCAGCGCUGAGCGCGGCCCAGCUGGCUCCCGGGGGCGUGGCCGCGGCCCGGGACUCGGCGCAGGAGGCAGGGACACUUCCGCGUGCCCUUCGGCGGCCUUUGCCCGCAGGGAAGCGACUCGCGUCAUCGCACCAGAACCGAAGCGCGACGUGCGCGCAGACUCCUCACCGUCGUUGUCGUUGCGCAACUCCGUGUGCCGGACCGUGCUCGGGGUCUUGCCCGCAUUCCCUCGCUCCGUCGUGCCCACUGUGCUCUGGAAUCAGCGAGGACCACCCCCGCCUCCACGUUCCCACGCGGGGACACACAGGCUGCGAGGCUGCUGAGGUUGCAGAGGUGAUAAGCGGGAGCCAGACCUCCAAUCCCGGCCUCCAAGGCCCCAGCCCCCGCCGCCAGGCCACCACGCUGCACCUGCUCCACCUCCUGGCACCUCAGGUGACACCCGAACAUCAGUCAAGCGGGACCGGCCGGGAUCCCGGCCAUCUCGACCCCCACCCCGCCACUUUCUCCUCCGAUUGGGGACGUCGGCAGGGGCAGAGUGCCAGGAGAUUCCACCCGUCGUCCCCUCGUGCUGGCCUUGCUCACCCACGGAUGAGUCAGCUGGAAUUCCUGGACAUCCCAGGCUCACCAGCGGUACCAGGAGCUGUCAGGAGGCAGGAAUGCACGGAAUGCGGCUCCCUGCGCUCCGCCUGCACCCCCCACCCCUGCUCCCCAGGCCGAACCCACAGAGAGGCUUGGAAGGCUCUCCUCCAGGGGUGCAGCUCCCUGCCUUCACAUGAUGCCGUAAAAGAAUGUCAUCCACCUUCCUCUCAUCCCUGAGAACAAGAGGCCAUUUCUUGGCUGGGCAAUCAAGCCACCGUGAGUGCUGAGGAGAAGGAGGGAUGCCGUGUGCCCCUCAGCCAAGGACUCCCUUUGGAGAGCAGAUGCCCCCAAGGCAUCACAACCCCAUGUCCUGAGUCCCUCUCUUGAGGCUGUCUCCUCUCACCCAAGCUAGGUAGAGCGUCUCUCUGGAAGGUGCUUCAUAUCCUUUCUGGAAUGGAGGAUUGCCCAUACCCACUCCAUUUUUUAAAACUGAUGGAGAAAUUAAGUUUCAGAGAGGCUAAGUUACCUGCCCAUGGUCACCCAGCUAGUGAGUGGCAGAGUCAGAAUUUGAGCUCAGGUCUAACCCCAAAACCCGUCUCUUCCCUAUGUGCCUCAAAGGAGCUGGAUGCAUCUCAAGAUACCCCUGCACAUGUGCUCAGAAAUAGUGUCCCCAGCCUUCCUGAGUGCCUGAAGUGCACCUCAUUGGAGUCAUUGCCCAGUGACUCCAGUCAUGGAUGGCCAAGAAAGGUCAGAGAUGGGUAGAAGGAAGGUAUACAAGAAAUCCCUCAGCAAAGGUUUGACUACGGCAGGACCGACCUAAGUGUGACAGCAAGGCCUAGGGACUCAGGGUUGGGAGGAGGGAAGGGAAACUGCCAGGGGGGCCCAGAGGCUGGUAGAGCAGGGUGUGAGAGCAGCACCAGCCAGAGGAGGGAGAGCCCCCCUCAAAACCCCACAGGGCCGCUCCGGGGCAGGGACUGGUUUUGGGGUGGAAGGGCCCAGCGUGACUAGGAGGCAUUAGUCAGCAGUGGUGGUUUAUGAAAGGAGGGAUUGUCCUGAGCCUCCUUACUCACCGGGCCGAUUGGGUCGUCCCCAGAGCCCGGGAGCAGAGCUGGUAUCAGAGAGGACCGGGAACUCGGCGCCGCUCACUGCCCAGGUUGAAUGGCCAGGGCAUCAGGGGCGGAGCGUGGGGGCCUGUGAGUCACAGCCCUCGGCUGGCAGGCUGAGUGUCUUCAUUGUC